UACCGGCUACAAGUGCCAAAACAACACAAGAAUUCAGAAAUGAGAACACAAUUCGCAUAUAGCUUUGAUUCGCAUAUGCGUUGCGUACCAUGAUUGAUCCCUGCGCACGAAGCCAUCCACCUUGGCACCGCCGCGCUCGUCCUGCACCUGCACGUUGCCGCUGCUGCCGCCAUUGACGGGGACGAGCCCGCGCUCUGCGACAUGGUUCUCCCUCUCCAUAGCUUCCCACAUCUCCAUUGCUGCUCUGUGCUGUGAUCUAUGGAUGUCAUGUAUAUAUGCUUACAGGGCAGAUGAUGUAUCUCUGAGAUGGACUGCACUGGAUCGGAGUAAUCACUUCCUAGCUUGAACUGGAUGGGCCAUAAGCGUCUACAUAAACCCAUUAUUGGACGUGAAAAUCAUGACAGCAACGCUGUGUUUUCGACAGGGGCGGACCCAGGGCCCGGCGACCCUGGGCACCGGCCUGGGCUCCGGAGCAACAAUCACAAGAUGCCAGCCGUCAAAUAUGCCAUUCAUUUGUUCCGCAAUAGCUGAGAAAAAACAGCCGCCUUGUAUUGGCCCAGGCUCCAUUCACAAGCUGGGUCCGCCACUGGUUUUCGAGGAGAUUCAUUGGCAGGUGAUCCAUGAGUGUGCCUUCAUCUGAACUAGUCCUCUCCUCUUUAAUUGAGUGGAUGGGUGAUCCUUGUCGAAUAAAGCGACACCAAUUAACUCACUGAGAGAGAAAAUGUUUGAAUUGGCAUCAAGUGUCUAUGUGUCAUAGAGACCUGGACAACUUGUUAUACAUUCAUUAAGUUUUUGUAUCAUCUCCAUCAACAUUGUAAAAGAAUUAUUUUCUUCAAGGAGGCAA
Molecule: long non-coding RNA, 844 nt
Organism: Panicum hallii
Lineage: Eukaryota; Viridiplantae; Streptophyta; Magnoliopsida; Poales; Poaceae
Exons: 2
Source: RefSeq, a predicted model, not a curated record